GCCGCUCGAAACUUUGCACACCUCUACGUGGUGAGCGGCAGGCAACACAGCAUGGGUGCUGUGGCUAAGAUGCAAAG
Molecule: ribozyme, 77 nt
Filed under: unclassified sequences
Description: HDV ribozyme from F. prausnitzii
Rfam family: HDV ribozyme from F. prausnitzii
Source: RNAcentral